CUGUCCCUAGUACGAGAGGACCGGGAUGGACGAACCGCUGGUGUGCCAGUUGUACCGCCAGGUGCAUGGCUGGUUGGCUACGUUCGGGAGCGAUAACCGCUGAAAGCAUCUAAGCGGGAAGCGUGCUCUAAGAUGAGAUCUCCGUCAGCAGCAAUGCUGGUGAGGCGCCCUAAAGAUGAUGGGGUUGAUAGGCUCGACAUGGAAGAGCAGCAAUGCUUGGAGUGGACGGGUACUAACCGCCGAGAACUUAACAC
This 254-nucleotide ribosomal RNA is filed under the name Glycomyces sambucus. Its description in RNAcentral is "partial 23S rRNA. Bacterial LSU". It matches the Rfam family "Bacterial large subunit ribosomal RNA", at positions 2672 to 2925 of the family's 2925-position model. Lineage: Bacteria; Bacillati; Actinomycetota; Actinomycetes; Glycomycetales; Glycomycetaceae. The record is from RNAcentral.